Molecule: long non-coding RNA, 683 nt
Filed under: Phoenix dactylifera (date palm)
Lineage: Eukaryota; Viridiplantae; Streptophyta; Magnoliopsida; Arecales; Arecaceae
Description: long non-coding RNA (PDAC_LNC019489)
Source: RNAcentral
AGGAAGGGAAACAACCCACUCCGCCACAUGGAGUACAACUCUGGGAAUGAAAAAGGUACGUCCAACUCGACGUUCUCCUUGUCAAAUUUUAUCUACAUGAUGCUAGCGGAAUCUCAGCCAAAAUUGGAGCCUUAUUUCGCCCAAAAUCGGGCUACUCCAAUGGGUCGGCUUAAGACCGAUCUCCCGACGACAUUAUGCAUGCUCCGCUCGUCAAAUCUCCACAACUCGUACAAGUCUUCACAAAUUAGGGCCCAACUCGGCCCCCAUACCUAGACUCCGAUGUCUAGCUGGGAAAAUGAUCCCGACUGCGGGCGUACCAGUCGAACACAAAGAUGCCGAGGCAAUCUUUGAAAGUUCCAGCCUUGCUCACCGAAAUCUCGGCAGAGUCCGAGAACGAUAACUAUGAAAACCUUCGGCGAUAAUUCGACUAUUAGCCCGCGCUCCCUACGAAGGACCCGGGAGUCGAGUUCGGAAACCCGACUAGAUUCCCCGAAUAGCGGCACGAACAGACCUAGCCCGGUCUUACUUGAAGGGCUAAGGCCCGACCCUGAUGCCUUGGGAACCUAAAGGCCAGGCACGGCAACUUCUGCGAUUCUAAGAUCCGAGUUAUAGGACUUAGAGAAAUUUUCUAGAAACCUAAGCUCGGAGCUCCCUUUGGUCGGAAUGGCUGAAAUCCGAGAAGG